UUUAAGCAUAACCAUGAGUUUCCAUGUUUAAUUUUGAUUGUCUUAUUUAAAAUUUAUUUAUGAUUAGUAUUUUUAUUGUUAUUAGAUAAUAAAAUAUGGAUAGUACUUUGCGUGACUUAUGUUUUUUUAUUUUUUUCAAGUAAGACGACCGAUUAAAGUUGGUCACGGAAACUUAUGGCUACAUGUAGA
This is a non-coding RNA of Oryza punctata, 189 nucleotides long. The record is from Rfam. Lineage: Eukaryota; Viridiplantae; Streptophyta; Magnoliopsida; Poales; Poaceae.